UGGGGAAUUUUGGACAAUGGGCGAAAGCCUGAUCCAGCAAUGCCGCGUGUGUGAAGAAGGCCUUCGGGUUGUAAAGCACUUUUGUCCGGAAAGAAAUCCUUGGCUCUAAUACAGUCGGGGGAUGACGGUACCGGAAGAAUAAGCACCGGCUAACUACGUGCCAGCAGCCGCGGUAAUACGUAGGGUGCAAGCGUUAAUCGGAAUUACUGGGCGUAAAGCGUGCGCAGGCGGUUUGCUAAGACCGAUGUGAAAUCCCCGGGCUCAACCUGGGAACUGCAUUGGUGACUGGCAGGCUAGAGUAUGGCAGAGGGGGGUAGAAUUCCACGUGUAGCAGUGAAAUGCGUAGAGAUGUGGAGGAAUACCGAUGGCGAAGGCAGCCCCCUGGGCCAAUACUGACGCUCAUGCACGAAAGCGUGGGGGAGCAAACAGGAUUAGAUACCCUGGUAGUCCACGCCCUAAACGAUGUCAACUAGUUGUUGGGGAUUCAUUUCCUUAGUAACGUAGCUAACGCGUGAAGUUGACCGCCUGGGGGAGUACGGUCGCAAGAUUAAAACUCAAAUGAAUUGACGGGG
Molecule: ribosomal RNA, 572 nt
Filed under: uncultured bacterium
Lineage: Bacteria
Description: partial 16S ribosomal RNA
Rfam family: Bacterial small subunit ribosomal RNA
Source: RNAcentral